Grus americana (Whooping crane) is the source of this 721-nucleotide long non-coding RNA. RefSeq lists it as uncharacterized. NCBI's taxonomy places the organism in Eukaryota, Metazoa, Chordata, Aves, Gruiformes, Gruidae. The record is from RefSeq and is a predicted model, not a curated record. The transcript has 5 exons.
GGCGGAGGACAGCCGAGCGACCGGAGCGACAGCAAAGGAAAGGCGGAGAGCGGGAGAAAGAAGCGUCUGCGCUGGCAAGCUCUCCCGGCAGCGCCGAGAGCCAGAGCUGCGGUGCUGCUGCGCCGAUGCUCCGUACGUUCGCAGUAACGGGUAGAGCGGAAGGCUCCGUGGCCAGGGAAGAGCGGCACGGACACGUUCCUGCUCGCUCCGUUGCACCGGAAUUUCGACGGCUGGGUUCGGCCGCUAAAUUGAUGGCGCUACCGGAAGAAAUUUCAGAAAAAAAGGGUGGCUUUUUCGUCGAUCUCUUUGUGAGAGUAUCAAAUCAGGCGGCGGUAAAUACGUAGAAGCAACUAGGCGUACUACGGCGUGUACCGGACAGCGUUGGCGUGCCGCUCUGCUAGCAGCGGAGAGCCAGAUGAGGAUGCCCGUGAUAUGAGAAAAGCUCUGUCCAGAGAUAUGGAGACGAAAUCAGUUGUACCUCACCCUGUGACACCGGAAGACAUUGAGUAACUCGUCCUGCAGCUGGCUCCUCGGUUUUGGCGGCAGCCUGCACAUAGCAGCCCAGCUCUCCAGCAGCCUGACGGACCGACCGUGUGUCUGUUCCACGCCGGACUGGCGAGCGUGGCUCCGGGUAGGACAGCCGAGGUGCCCCAGGGCCGGGCCCCGAGCCCCGGUGCGGAGUCUCUCCCGGAACCGGCUCUGUGUGUGACUGAAUAAACGC